GAGUUUGAUCCUGGCUCAGGAUGAACGCUGGCGGCGUGCUUAACACAUGCAAGUCGAACGAAGCGCCUUAUUUGAUUUUCUUCGGAACUGAAGAUUUGGUGACUGAGUGGCGGACGGGUGAGUAACGCGUGGGUAACCUGCCCUGUACAGGGGGAUAACAAUCAGAAAUGACUGCUAAUACCGCAUAAGACCACAGCACCGCAUGGUGCAGGGGUAAAAACUCCGGUGGUACAGGAUGGACCCGCGUCUGAUUAGCUGGUUGGUGAGGUAACGGCUCACCAAGGCGACGAUCAGUAGCCGGCUUGAGAGAGUGAACGGCCACAUUGGGACUGAGACACGGCCCAAACUCCUACGGGAGGCAGCAGUGGGGAAUAUUGCACAAUGGGGGAAACCCUGAUGCAGCAACGCCGCGUGAGUGAAGAAGUAUUUCGGUAUGUAAAGCUCUAUCAGCAGGGAAGAAAGUGACGGUACCUGACUAAGAAGACCCCGGCUAACUACGUGCCAGCAGCCGCCGC
RNAcentral lists this ribosomal RNA (515 nucleotides) under uncultured microorganism. Its description in RNAcentral is "bacterial SSU rRNA". It matches the Rfam family "Bacterial small subunit ribosomal RNA", at positions 9 to 521 of the family's 1533-position model. The record is from RNAcentral.